This 654-nucleotide ribosomal RNA is filed under the name Triticum aestivum (bread wheat). Its description in RNAcentral is "partial small subunit ribosomal RNA". Lineage: Eukaryota; Viridiplantae; Streptophyta; Magnoliopsida; Poales; Poaceae. The record is from RNAcentral.
AUGGCGGAACCGCUGCCGCCGCCGCUCCCCCAGCGCAUGCCCCUCCUCCCUCUCCCGCUCCCUCAGGCUAACUACUCGUCGAAGUUUCCGCCGCUCCCCCAGCCUUUGCCGACGCGGAAGGUUCCGCUGCUUCUCGAGCCCCAGCCAAUGGAGGCAUCGCCGACGGCACCGCUCCCCCAGCCCCGGCCUCCACCGCCUCCCGCCGCGGCCCUGCUUCCCUCCCUCCCGUCCUCCGCUGCUUCAACUGCCUUAGCCCAACUAGCAGCGCCGACCUCUCCCCGCGACCAUGUCACGCAGAACCCUAGAAUCGGGGAUUCCGGCGAUAUGGAGAGCGGGUCAGGGACGUCCACGGUCGAGGCCCUCGAAGAGAUCACCCCGUACGUGGGCACACUCGCUGCAGCUCCUCUGCCCCAAAUUUCCAAGCUCCAUGAGGAGGACGGCGUGGCUGACGAAUGCGGCUCCACCUCUCUCUCUGAUAUUUGUGCUAGGAUGAUCCAAUCAUGUACUUACACAGUAGAGGUGAAGAUUUGUGGCGGUGGAAUAGAAAUCUGUGGGGAUUCUACAUUUACUUGGGAUGUUGUUGAGGGUAGCAGCUCAAGCUUGAAGGAUCUAGUGGCUUCCAUUGCUGGAACUUUUCCACUAUUUUCAGUGUAG